Molecule: non-coding RNA, 45 nt
Organism: Schistosoma curassoni
Lineage: Eukaryota; Metazoa; Platyhelminthes; Trematoda; Strigeidida; Schistosomatidae
Source: Rfam
GCCCAGCUGACGAGUCCCAAAUAGGACGAAACGCGCGUCCUGGAU